Molecule: long non-coding RNA, 946 nt
Organism: Acanthochromis polyacanthus (spiny chromis)
Lineage: Eukaryota; Metazoa; Chordata; Actinopteri; Pomacentridae
Exons: 2
Source: RefSeq, a predicted model, not a curated record
UAAAUCUUUCAUAUGCAGUCAUGGUCAGUUGUUUACUGGCUAGUUCCAGUAGCCACCUAGUGCUACUAUAUAUGUAUGUAACCCGGGUUUAUAAGGCCCUGGUUAUUUAUUUAUUUAUUUAUUUGUUUGUUUAUUUACUUUUCGUCUUUAGCUGCACCUUAAGUAUUGACGCUAUGUUACUGCUCCUUUAAGAGAAGCAGUUGCGACUCCGGUGCAUGAAAGGUGCGAGGAGUGAUCAUCUUUUUUUUUAUAAGCUAUCUUUGACGUUUUUUGCCUUCCUGCUUGCGGUGCUGGGUGGUGUCUGUCGUCCUGGAUUUUUGGAAUUUGAAAAGAAUAGAGAAGAAAAGAAAAUAGAGGAGAUAGCAGACUGGAACAUCACUGGAUACUUUGGAGUUUCCAAGGAGCUGUCAUUUUGUGCGGCUAUUGACCGAGUGAAGGAAAAUCAUUCCCGGCUGUUUUUUUGUGUUGACAUCCUUCUGCUGGAUUCCUGGUGCUUCCGUCCACCGUCUCCUACUGCGACAGACCUGCUUCUCCACCCUGAUUCCCCAUCUUGCUUCCCCAUCCUGGACACCACUUGGUUCAACAACCAUUGACUUUGGACUUGCUUUUGAGGGAGGGCGGUAGGACGAGUGCACUCGUUUUAUUUCAUUUAAUUCCUUGGUCUAUUGGUCUUGUUUUUUUGGAGUUUUUUUCAUUUAUUGUUUUCCUGAGAUCUCAGAGUUUUGUUUUAAAUGUUCUUUCAUGAUCUGGAUAGACCUGUGUUCUGGUUGAAUUUGAACUAAAUUAUAGUAACUGAUUGUUGAAGACAACUGAAGAUAAUUUCAUUUUCUUUUAUUAUUUCACUGCUAUUUUUUUUUCCAGUAUUCAAUUUUAUUAUUUCUGAGCUGCUGAAAUUGCAAAAUUUCUAUUCUGCAUUUCAGUGAUUAUACUUCCUUUUAAAACUUUA